GUGAGUUGUCAGGGCCAUCGGCGCAGGAUUGCGGAGAGAGGGAUCUAUAUUUCUGUAGGGUGCCUUAUCCGGUCAUUGGUCUAAACUGGCAUCAUGGAUGAUGAGGAAGCGAGUGCACUGGCUGUACUUUUGGUGGCACUGCUGUCGAUGCUGGCAUCGAUAAGCUGACAGUGAAGACAACAUCAACAGAUGAUAGCAUGGCGGAUAGCUCCCCAAAAGUUUGAAAGAGGUACCAGAGAUGCGUGAGGAGAAGGAAGGGAAGCACAGACUGGUGGAUCAAGAUCGUUCUGACAUCUGAUAAUGACACUUUCCUGGAAAACUUUAGGGUUGGGCCAGUUCUGGCACCAAAUCCUGCCACUCCUGGACCUGCCGUGGAACUAAACUGCCGGGUGGUCAUCGCCAUAUAUGUUCUCUCCACUACCAUGGAGUUCAGGAACAUCGGGCACCUGUUCGGUGUUCAUAAGUGGACAGUCUUCUCAUUCUACAGGAAGUUUGUCCGCGCUCUGAUAACAGCAUGCCUGCAUGACUUCAUUCGGCUGCCAUCGGACGAGGAGGCCGCCGCCUCAGCCCAGGAGGCCUGGGAACGGACGGGAUUCCCUGGGCACGGCGCGUGUGGGCGACUUGGCUGUGCCGCCAAUGAUAGCUGGCGGCCCAGCGUACCCACUUCUUCCCUGGCUGAUGAAGGGUUAUACCGGAGCCCUCACCGAGCGGCAGAAGCAUUUCAACACCAGGCACAGCCAUGCACGCGUCGCUGUCGAGCAUUGCUCAGGCCGUUUUAAAGGGAGAUGGCGCCGGCUCCUAAAACGUUCGGAAAUUUGCUAUGAGGUUAUCCCAGCAGCUGCGUUUGCAUGUGCGAUACUUCACAACAUCGUGGAGGAGCGGGGUGAGCCAUUUAGGGACGGCUGGUUGGAAGUAGCGGCCGUGGACGAGGCCCAGCAGCCACCUGGCGAUAUUGGCCGCUCAAUUCUGGGAGCUGACGGGCGGCAGACAGCAGUGACCCGGGAACUGAUCGCGGGCUUCCUGUGGACACGAUGAAGGACCCUUUGAUUGUGUGGCGCAAAGCCUGCAGUGGCCCUCCCCUCGUUCGUUGUAUAUAUGCCGUAAAUACUUUUGCAUUGCACAUGAAGGGCAGUCAGUAAACUGAGAUCUGUGAAAGCUAACAUUUCUCCCUACUUGGUGUUAAACACACCUAUAACGUCGUGGAAAAGCCGUAGCUAACGACAUCAAGCCGAGUGUGGCGCAUGGCAUCGCGGUCUGCAAACAUGAUGAUCACUUAUUAAAUGUUAGCUAAAAUUGUUGCGGUAUGUAGGGUACCAUACUGUCAUUGUGCAGAUGCUGACUAACCUCUAGCUGAAGGAAGUACUUAAGAACAAUGCGUUGUUGUCAGUAAGAUAAUUUCUUUCUUAAAUUAUACACAAACACGAGUACGAAUGUACGACACAGAACACAAAUACGAAAGUACACAAGUACAGGAGUCCGAAGCAGGAUUUACAGGUUUGCGAUACUUGCGGGCACGUACAAGAUUUUUGCAAAUGGUCACUAUAAUACACAAUACACAUUACUAAAUACGAUACACGACACGCAUCAAAUGAUACACGAAAACUAUAUCACACGAGUUACAGAUACACAUUUACACACAGAUACAAUAUGUACACACGGACUAUACAUACGCGGAAGGUGCAAGACUAUCGGUCGUCUCGACGCUCCACCCUUGCAGCGAGCAAGCGCACACACUGCUCUGCCGCGGCCGCGAUGCGCGCCGUCACCUCCAAUUCCAGAGAACGCUACCGCUCCUCCAUCUCCACCAUCCGCCGGAGGAGCAUUUCGUAACAGUCGUCGCAUCCCGCAGCGCCA
Pollicipes pollicipes is the source of this 1854-nucleotide long non-coding RNA. RefSeq lists it as uncharacterized. The transcript has 5 exons. Lineage: Eukaryota; Metazoa; Arthropoda; Thecostraca; Pollicipedomorpha; Pollicipedidae. The record is from RefSeq and is a predicted model, not a curated record.